UACAGAGGUCCCGAGCGUUGUUCGGAUUUAUUGGGCGUAAAGAGCUCGUAGGCGGCUUGUCGCGUCGUCCGUGAAAACUUGGGGCUCAACCCCAAGCUUGCGGUCGAUACGGGCAGGCUAGAGUUCGGUAGGGGAGACUGGAAUUCCUGGUGUAGCGGUGAAAUGCGCAGAUAUCAGGAGGAACACCGGUGGCGAAGGCGGGUCUCUGGGCCGAUACUGACGCUGAGGAGCGAAAGCGUGGGGAGCGAACAGG
Molecule: ribosomal RNA, 253 nt
Filed under: uncultured bacterium
Lineage: Bacteria
Description: partial 16S ribosomal RNA
Rfam family: Bacterial small subunit ribosomal RNA
Source: RNAcentral